RNAcentral lists this ribosomal RNA (382 nucleotides) under uncultured Vibrio sp. RNAcentral describes it as "bacterial SSU rRNA". It matches the Rfam family "Bacterial small subunit ribosomal RNA", at positions 355 to 729 of the family's 1533-position model. Lineage: Bacteria; Pseudomonadati; Pseudomonadota; Gammaproteobacteria; Vibrionales; Vibrionaceae. The record is from RNAcentral.
UGGGGAAUAUUGCACAAUGGGCGCAAGCCUGAUGCAGCCAUGCCGCGUGUGUGAAGAAGGCCUUCGGGUUGUAAAGCACUUUCAGUCGUGAGGAAGGUAGUGUAGUUAAUAGCUGCAUUAUUUGACGUUAGCGACAGAAGAAGCACCGGCUAACUCCGUGCCAGCAGCCGCGGUAAUACGGAGGGUGCGAGCGUUAAUCGGAAUUACUGGGCGUAAAGCGCAUGCAGGUGGUUUGUUAAGUCAGAUGUGAAAGCCCGGGGCUCAACCUCGGAAUUGCAUUUGAAACUGGCAGGCUAGAGUACUGUAGAGGGGGGUAGAAUUUCAGGUGUAGCGGUGAAAUGCGUAGAGAUCUGAAGGAAUACCGGUGGCGAAGGCGGCCCCC